CUGUGCUAGACGGGGAGCUUGCGGUGCCCUGUAAACUGCAAUCCGCAACAGCAGUGCCGAACACCGCCUUAGGCUCUGGCUAUGGUUGGCAGCACAGUGCAAGGAGUGUUGAUAUCAAGGUCCCGUGCAAUGUCAUGCUGUGAACCGUGUCAGGGCUUGACCGCAGCAGCACUAAGCAGAUUUUGGCGUGUGCCACGGGGAAACUUUGAAGUAGCCACCUACACUGUUACCGCUUCGGUAGUCUUUGUCGACGGCGGCGCACAG
This 264-nucleotide signal recognition particle RNA is filed under the name Clostridia bacterium. RNAcentral's name for it is "signal recognition particle sRNA large type". It matches the Rfam family "Bacterial large signal recognition particle RNA". Rfam says of the family: The signal recognition particle (SRP) is a universally conserved ribonucleoprotein involved in the co-translational targeting of proteins to membranes. Archaeal SRP consists of a 7S RNA and homologues of the eukaryotic SRP19 and SRP54 proteins. The record is from RNAcentral. Lineage: Bacteria; Bacillati; Bacillota; Clostridia.